Molecule: non-coding RNA, 356 nt
Organism: Butyrivibrio hungatei
Lineage: Bacteria; Bacillati; Bacillota; Clostridia; Lachnospirales; Lachnospiraceae
Rfam family: transfer-messenger RNA
About the family: Bacterial tmRNA, also known as 10Sa RNA or SsrA, is named for its dual tRNA and mRNA-like properties.
Source: Rfam
GGGUUAGUAAAGGUUUCGACAGGGAUUUUGAAGCUGGAGAAGCUAUCCGCAGGACGGUGCGUCAAACCUCAAAUUAAAAUUAAACGCUAACGAUAAUUUAGCUUACGCUGCCUAAGUGCAGCAUGUCAGCCUAAGUGCACCUACACAUUUAGUAACUGGCAUCAAACUUUGUAGGAAACGACAUAGCUUAAGCUUUGCGGCUAUGGUCGUAUCAUGAAGCUACCUUUUGUUUGUAGUUGUCAAUUACCGCAGACAGAAGGGAACGGAAGUGCAGAACUUCGAAAUAAUUGACUACGAUAGUAGAAGUACAGGGGAUGAAUUUUUGGACGCGGGUUCGACUCCCGCCUAAUCCACUA